CCAAAUGGUCCGGAGUCGGUGGGUUACCACAAUUUGAAACCCUCCCAUCGGCACUUCCUUGACCGUUGG
RNAcentral lists this small RNA (69 nucleotides) under Caenorhabditis remanei. RNAcentral's name for it is "Nematode sRNA ceN72-3_ceN74-2". It matches the Rfam family "Nematode sRNA ceN72-3_ceN74-2". The record is from Rfam by way of RNAcentral. Lineage: Eukaryota; Metazoa; Nematoda; Chromadorea; Rhabditida; Rhabditidae.